GGAGGAUUACCCAAGUCCGGCUGAAGGGAACGGUCUUGAAAACCGUCAGGCGUGUAAAAGCGUGCAAGAGUUCGAAUCUCUUAUCCUCCU
This 90-nucleotide transfer RNA is filed under the name Jeotgalibaca porci. It matches the Rfam family "tRNA". From Rfam's summary of the family: Transfer RNA (tRNA) molecules are approximately 80 nucleotides in length. Their secondary structure includes four short double-helical elements and three loops (D, anti-codon, and T loops). Lineage: Bacteria; Bacillati; Bacillota; Bacilli; Lactobacillales; Carnobacteriaceae. The record is from Rfam by way of RNAcentral.